RNAcentral lists this ribosomal RNA (415 nucleotides) under uncultured bacterium. RNAcentral describes it as "bacterial SSU rRNA". It matches the Rfam family "Bacterial small subunit ribosomal RNA", at positions 51 to 454 of the family's 1533-position model. The record is from RNAcentral.
AUACAUGCAAGUCGAGCGAAUGGAUUAAGAGCUUGCUCUUAUGAAGUUAGCGGCGGACGGGUGAGUAACACGUGGGUAACCUGCCCAUAAGACUGGGAUAACUCCGGGAAACCGGGGCUAAUACCGGAUAACAUUUUGAACCCCAUGGUUCGAAAUUGAAAGGCGGCUUCGGCUGUCACUUAUGGAUGGACCCGCGUCGCAUUAGCUAGUUGGUGAGGUAACGGCUCACCAAGGCAACGAUGCGUAGCCGACCUGAGAGGGUGAUCGGCCACACUGGGACUGAGACACGGCCCAGACUCCUACGGGAGGCAGCAGUAGGGAAUCUUCCGCAAUGGACGAAAGUCUGACGGAGCAACGCCGCGUGAGUGAUGAAGGCUUUCGGGUCGUAAAACUCUGUUGUUAGGGAAGAACAAGU